UUCCUCAAGCUCGGUGCUAGUUUUGCUAAAAUGGCUGAAAGAGAACUUCUCAGCAGGGUAAAAAACUGCAGGAUUGGGAUUACUGUCCUUAGGUGAAACGGUUCCCUUGGGAAAAAUCCUAGACAAGCUGCCCCUGACAACCUACUGGAAAAUAAGAGGGGUUUUGUUUGCUUUUUGAAAGUCCAGAAUACUUUAUUUAUUUUUAGGUCUCUGGCAAUGAAUCUGGCUGCCUUAGGGAUGGUUAAGCUCUUCUUAAAUUCAAGUGAGGCUCCUUGUUUUUCCUCCAACACCAAGAUGGCAGCAAUAGUUUUGAUCCCACAGACCUGUCAGAUCAGGUAUAUUCUCCAGGAAAGUCUUUUUCAUCUGGCUGCCAUACCCCAAUUAUGCAUAAUAUGAAAUAAAAAUAUGCUCCCUCGUGUGACAGCCAUCUCCCCAUAAAUGAAAAUAUAUGCUUUAUUUUGCAACAGCCGUCUUCAAUGCUAAUGAGCAAGAAAGGAAAGGGGAUUAAGUGGCAUUUAAAUCAUAUUCACCUCCUACCUGAGAACAGAGCCAGAGAAAGCAGUCACAGUCAGCUGGUCAAAACGUCCAAAGCCUGAACCAGGAAUUGCCAGCUACUUAGGAGGGACUGGGAGGAGGGAGAGGUAAAAAGGGGAAUGUUUUCCUCUAGAUCCGUGCUGCUAAGAGAUGGUGUAGGCUAAGCACAUGGCUUGCAGCCAGCAGAGGCAUCAGAUGCUGCGAUGAUAAAAGCCUGGUUAAUAACAUUUAGCACCGACAAAGGGUUUUCAAGGGAAAGAGACUUUUGUCCUGGGAAGGAUGGAAGCAGUGUCACCUGUUAGACCCAUUUUCGGGUUGUUUCAGGAGAAAUUACAGUGUCGUGAGUUUCUCUCCGCUUCCAAAUGCCGAGCGUGACAGGGAUGGGGCAAGCCACAGGUUUCUAAAGCCAAAAUAGCUGGUAGUGUGACUGCUUGUAAAAUGCAGAUACUGAUUUUGGGGAGAUUUUAGUGGUGAGUCUGUGGUGGUGGACCAAAAAGAAAAAAAAAUAGCAAGCUCACGUGUUUGAUAUGUGGGGAAAGAGGCAAACUUGAUCCGCCCCAAAUGAGGAGAGAAACUGCAUUUACCUGUGCCUUUCCCCUGUUGCACUGUUUACCGCGACAGGUUCUCUCCAUCUGCGGAUGGUCCGAUGCCACCGUCGUGCUUGCAU
This 1201-nucleotide long non-coding RNA is filed under the name Ficedula albicollis (Collared flycatcher). Its description in RNAcentral is "lncRNA (ENSFALG00000027705.1)". Lineage: Eukaryota; Metazoa; Chordata; Aves; Passeriformes; Muscicapidae. The record is from RNAcentral.